Long non-coding RNA from Pyrgilauda ruficollis (rufous-necked snowfinch), 783 nucleotides. RefSeq lists it as uncharacterized. The record is from RefSeq and is a predicted model, not a curated record. The transcript is spliced from 2 exons. NCBI's taxonomy places the organism in Eukaryota, Metazoa, Chordata, Aves, Passeriformes, Passeridae.
AUUGUCACCUUGUUUGUUGAAAAUUUUGGUGAAAAAAGUCCCAACUUGAUUACCUGAAGUGGUGUCAUUUUUGAGAAAGGCUGAACAACCCUGCCCAAGAAAUUUCCCGUUUCUGGCCUCACUCCGACGUUGCAUACUUUUCAUGGACAGAUGGUCAUUGACUGAUCACAGUAUUUUCUGGGUAUCUUCUGAUGGCUGCUCAACCCCAGAAACAAAAAGGGAAAGUUGCCAAAUCCAUUUGCUCUAUGUGACUCCCCACUUCAGUCACACAGGAAAAGGCCUUGCCUCUAACCUGGGCAGUUGAUGGCUGGGUUUUCUCUUCAUGUGUAUCCUCUAAAACUGAACUGUGGAUUUGAGAGGAAACAAGCUUAAUAUGCCAUGUGCUUCCUAUUUGUUGGAGGCAUCAAUGCUGAAGCUCUGUUGGCAUGCUAAAAUGUGAACAUUUUUACAAUGUAGCAGGUUAUGGAAGCUGCUCUUGAUAAAUUCCAGUAACGGCAUUUUACACUCCAUGUGUUCCUUUCUGUGAAUGACAGAUUGCACUAUUAUGUCUCUAAAGAAGCUCUUGACAAGGGUGAUUCAGGCACAAAGAAAGUGGAACAUGUGUCUAAUUCAGUGUUUCUACAUUCCCUAGCACAUUUACACAGGACUGUGAUCUUGUUCUUUCUGAUACACUAGAGCAAGCAAAAACACUGUUUAUUCUAAGUUAGACACUCCCUAAUAACAUCAGAGCCUCUGCUGAUGUAAACCUAAAAAUAAACCUAUGAGUAUGUUAUCUCUUCUUCA